Molecule: ribosomal RNA, 468 nt
Filed under: uncultured bacterium
Lineage: Bacteria
Description: partial 16S ribosomal RNA
Rfam family: Bacterial small subunit ribosomal RNA
Source: RNAcentral
GACGAACGCUGGCGGCGUGCUUAACACAUGCAAGUCGAACGGAAAGGCCCUGCUUUUGUGGGGUGCUCGAGUGGCGAACGGGUGAGUAACACGUGAGUAACCUGCCCUUGACUUUGGGAUAACUUCAGGAAACUGGGGCUAAUACCGGAUAGGAGCUCUUGCUGCAUGGUGGGGGUUGGAAAGUUUCGGCGGUUGGGGAUGGACUCGCGGCUUAUCAGCUUGUUGGUGGGGUAGUGGCUUACCAAGGCUUUGACGGGUAGCCGGCCUGAGAGGGUGACCGGCGACAUUGGGACUGAGAUACGGACCAGACUCCUACGGGAGGCAGCAGUGGGGAGUAUUGCACAAUGGGCGGAAGCCAGAUGCAGCGACGCCGCGUGCGGGAUGACGGCCUUCGAGUUGUAAACCGCUGUCGCAUGUGACGAAGCGUGAGUGACGGUAAUGGGUAAAAAAGCACCGGCUAACUACGUG